GACGUAGGCGCGAGCGUUGUCCGGAUUAUUGGCGUAAAGAGCUCGUAGGCGGCUUGUCGCGUCGUCCGUGAAAACCUGGGCUCAACCCAGGCUUGCGGUCGAUACGGCAGGCUCGAGUUCGGUAGGGGAGACUGGAAUUCCUGGUGUAGCGGUGGAAUGCGCAGAUAUCAGGAGGAACACCGAUGGCGAAGGCAGAUCUCUGGCCGGUAACUGACGCUGAGGAGCGAAAGCAUGGGGGAGCGAACAGG
Molecule: ribosomal RNA, 248 nt
Filed under: uncultured bacterium
Lineage: Bacteria
Description: partial 16S ribosomal RNA
Rfam family: Bacterial small subunit ribosomal RNA
Source: RNAcentral